RNAcentral lists this ribosomal RNA (320 nucleotides) under uncultured bacterium. RNAcentral's name for it is "partial 16S ribosomal RNA". It matches the Rfam family "Bacterial small subunit ribosomal RNA", at positions 355 to 692 of the family's 1533-position model. The record is from RNAcentral.
UGGGGAAUAUUGGACAAUGGGGGCAACCCUGAUCCAGCAAUGCCGCGUGUGUGAAGAAGGUCUUCGGAUUGUAAAGCACUUUCGACGGGGACGAUGAUGACGGUACCCGUAGAAGAAGCCCCGGCUAACUUCGUGCCAGCAGCCGCGGUAAUACGAAGGGGGCUAGCGUUGCUCGGAAUGACUGGGCGUAAAGGGCGUGUAGGCGGUUUACACAGUCAGAUGUGAAAUCCCCGGGCUUAACCUGGGAGCUGCAUUUGAUACGUGUAGACUAGAGUGUGAGAGAGGGCUGUGGAAUUCCCAGUGUAGAGGUGAAAUUCGUA